CCAUUAGAUGUUCUGGGCCGCACGCGCGCUACACUGACGAUGGCAACGAGUUUUUCCUUCGCCGAAAGGUGUGGGUAAUCUUUUGAAACAUCGUCGUGCUGGGGAUAGAUCAUUGCAAUUUUUGAUCUUGAACGAGGAAUUCCUAGUAAGCGCGAGUCAUCAGCUCGCGUUGAUUACGUCCCUGCCCUUUGUACACACCGCCCGUCGCUACUACCGAUUGAAUGGUUUAGUGAGGACUCCUGAUUGGCGCCGCCGCCCCGGCAACGGAGCAGCGGACUGCCGAAAAGUUGUUCAAACUUGAUCAUUUAGAGGAAGUAAAAGUCGUAACA
RNAcentral lists this ribosomal RNA (329 nucleotides) under uncultured eukaryote. Its description in RNAcentral is "partial 18S ribosomal RNA". It matches the Rfam family "Eukaryotic small subunit ribosomal RNA", at positions 1470 to 1796 of the family's 1831-position model. The record is from RNAcentral.